AGGAUAAACGCUGGCGGCGUGCCUAAUGCAUGCAAGUCGAACGGGAGCCCCUUUGGGGGUCGACCGUGGCGGACGGGUGAGGAACACGUAGCUAACCUGCCCAGAGAUGGGGGAUAUGCGCUGGAAACGGCGUGCAAUACCGCAUACGCUCGGGUGUCGGGAGACAUUUGAGGAAAGCCGUAAGGCGUCUUUGGAGGGGGCUGCGGCCGAUUAGCUAGUUGGUGGGGUAAGAGCUCACCAAGGCGAUGAUCGGUAGCUGGUCUGAGAGGACGAUCAGCCACACGGGGACUGAGACACGGCCCCGACUCCUACGGGAGGCAGCAGCAAGGAAUUUUCCACAAUGGGCGCAAGCCUGAUGGAGCAACGCCGCGUGGGGGAUGACGCGUUUCGGCGUGUAAACCCCUUUUCGAGGGACGAAGACAAUGACGGUACCCUCGGAAGAAGGACCGGCUAACUACGUGCCAGCAGCCGC
Molecule: ribosomal RNA, 472 nt
Filed under: uncultured bacterium
Lineage: Bacteria
Description: SSU rRNA
Rfam family: Bacterial small subunit ribosomal RNA
Source: RNAcentral